RNAcentral lists this ribosomal RNA (407 nucleotides) under uncultured bacterium. RNAcentral describes it as "partial 16S ribosomal RNA". It matches the Rfam family "Bacterial small subunit ribosomal RNA", at positions 28 to 526 of the family's 1533-position model. The record is from RNAcentral.
GACGAACGCUGGCGGCGCGCUUAACACAUGCAAGUCGAGCGAAGCGGCGGACGGGUGAGUAACACGUGAGUAACCUGCCUUAGACAUUGGGAUAGCCUCGGGAAACCGGGAUUAAUACCAAAUGGUCUAAGAUGGACUCGCGUCCCAUUAGCUAGUUGGUGUGGUAACGGCCCACCAAGGCGACGAUGGGUAGCCGGCAGGAGAGGGUGAGCGGCAACAUUGGAACUCAGAAACGGUGCAGAAGCUGCGGGAGGCAGGAGUGGGAAAUAAUGCAAAGUGGAGGGAAGUCUGAUGGAGCGACGCCGCGUGAACAAAGAAGGCUUUCGAGUCGUAAAGUUCUUUUAUAUGAGAAGCGGAACCAUAAGAAAAAGCCCCGGCUAACUACGUGCCAGCAGCCGCGGUAAUUC